CAAUAGCGUAUAUUAAAGUUGUUGCAGUUAAAAAGCUCGUAGUUGGACCUUGGACCUGGACAGGCGGUCCGCCUCACGGCGAGUACUGUCUUGCUGGGUCUUUCCUCUUGGUGAUCUGUUGUUUCGGCAGCAGGGAACCAGGACCUUUACUUUGAAAAAAUUAGAGUGUUCAAAGCAGGCUCGACGCCGGAAUAUAUUAGCAUGGAAUAAUAAAAUAGGACGUGCGGUUCUAUUUUGUUGGUUUUUGGAAUCGCCGUAAUGAUUAAUAGGGACAGUCGGGGGCAUUAGUACUCACAUGCUAGAGGUGAAGUUCUUGGAUUUUGUGAAGACUAACUUCUGCGAAAGCAUUUGCCAAGGAUGUUUNCAUUAA
RNAcentral lists this ribosomal RNA (370 nucleotides) under uncultured eukaryote. RNAcentral describes it as "partial 18S ribosomal RNA". It matches the Rfam family "Eukaryotic small subunit ribosomal RNA", at positions 592 to 976 of the family's 1831-position model. The record is from RNAcentral.